This is a non-coding RNA of Chrysemys picta bellii (western painted turtle), 16039 nucleotides long. The record is from RefSeq and is a predicted model, not a curated record. NCBI's taxonomy places the organism in Eukaryota, Metazoa, Chordata, Testudines, Emydidae.
GGGCCGGCGGACGUGGGGCCUGCCGGAAGCGUAGAGCGCGGUGAGCUUCCUGUUUAUGCAGGAGGAGGAGCCGGAGGCGCGCGCUAGGCCGCUCUCUCGUCUGCGCCGCGGCAACGGUAACGGGUCAGGGGGGCGAGGCUGUCAUGGCGCUGUCCGAGCCCCAGCUGAAGAAGAUGCUCGCCAAGUAUAAGUAUAGAGAUCUGACGGUGCAGGAAACCACCAGUGUUAUUACCCAGUACAAAGACCUCAAACCUGUAAUGGAUGCAUAUGUUUUUAAUGAUGGCUCAUCCAGGGACCUGAUGAGCCUCACCGGAACCAUUCCUGUGCCUUAUAGAGGUAACACAUACAAUAUCCCAAUAUGUCUGUGGCUACUGGAUACCUACCCUUUCAAUCCCCCAAUCUGUUUUGUUAAACCAACUAGUUCAAUGACAAUUAAAACUGGGAAGCAUGUUGAUGCAAAUGGAAAGAUAUAUCUUCCUUAUCUGCAUGAGUGGAAACAUCCCCAGUCAGACUUGAUAGGAUUGAUUCAAAUUAUGAUCGUGGUGUUCGGAGAGGAACCUCCAGUCUUUUCUCGGCCUACCAUUUCAUCAUCCUACCAACCAUACCAAGCAACAGGGCCACCAAAUACAUCCUAUAUGCCAGGCAUGCCAAGUGGAAUCUCUCCCUAUCCACCAGGACACCCUCCUAACCCAAGUGGCUACCCGGGCUAUCCUUAUCCACCUGGUGGUCCAUUUCCAGCAACAACAAGUGGUCAGCACUACCCUUCUCAGCCUCCUGUGACUACUGUUGCAGAUGCCAGAAGAAAGCAGAAGCAGGUAUGGAUUUGUGGUCAUUCGUAUGUUUUCUGGGCAGAAAAACGGGCACUCGUAAGAAGCUUUGGCCCACAACUGGGCAUUCGAGUGGAGGAUGCUAAAUUGCACUGGAUAGGAAAGAGCGGCAUGAUGUGGGAUCAGUUAAUACCCACUCUGUUUCAUGCACGAAGGCGUCUGCCAGAUCCUGAUGUGCUGGUGAUACACCUGGGAGGAAAUGAUCUGGGGACAACAAAAUUUGUGGAUCUUAUCAUCCGAAUUAAGAAAGAUUUAGGAUUUAUCAAGCACACAUUCAAGAAUGUCAUUCUGAUCUGGUCAAACAUUGUGCCCCGAAAGGCAUGGAACCAAGAAGAGACCUAUAGAUUCAUGGAUAAGAACAGAAAAAAAGUCAAUAGGGAAAUUGGCAACUUUAUGAAGUUUAUCGGAGGGUGUGUGAUCAGACACGAUUCCCUUGUACCGGAGUCUCCGGGUUUAUUCCAUCUAGAUGGUGUCCUCUUAUCUCAAAGUGGUACUGAUGUCUUCAACCUGGAUUUACUGAGUGUUUUGGAGACUUUGAUAUGACUUUGGAGGAAGUUUGACAUUAUUGGCCAUGUUUUUGACAAGUAGGAACCUCACCAGGGGUAGGGAAUACACCAUAGGAGGAUUCCCAAUGAUAUGGGGAUACUUUGGUAGUGUUUGGAGUUGCCAUCUCUCAUGUGGGGGAAGCAGUACUGGUUGCUGAAUACAUUUCAGAGGUUGAUAAUAGUGUUUCUGGCACAUAUUUGUUACCCCACUAUUAAAAUGAAAUGUUAUUUCCCAGAUGCCAAGCUUUGUUGUUCUGCAAGGUCUAUUUAAUAUUUUAUUUUGAGCUUAAUUUGAUUAAUUUAUGUAACUUAUUUAAAGGGACACUGCCAAAUAGUUUUUACCCCUUUUUUAAAUACACUAUCUUCUCUGUGUAAAAUCAUUCAAUAGUAGGUAGCUUUGUUAUAGGACCUAAUGUAUAAUAAGUGAACUUUUUGAAGCAUUUCAUUAUCAGAGAUACAGUAAUAUGAACUAUAUGGACAUAUUCACGAUGACAUUUUCUGACACAGUAUGCAACUUUAAAGGUAUGUAAAAUCGGAAGGUAGGUUGUCUGCAGAGUAGGACGCUGUGAGUUGAGACUUCUGGAUUCUAUUCCCAGCUCUGCCACUGAUUUAUUAUGGAAAUAAGUCAGUUAACUUCGCCAUACCUCUGUUUACCUGUCUGUACAUAAUUACCUCAGAAGGGUAUUUGACAGUUCUGAUGACAGUUAAUAUAGAAGUUCAGUCUUGUUACUGUGAAGGUAUAGACUCUUGACAUAAUGUCCUUUUUAAAUAACAAACUAUUUUUAUAGACUUGAAUUUGUUAUAGUAUUUUUGUUUUUUUAAAAGGUGAUUGAAAACACAUUCUUUCCUUACCAAUUUUGUCCUUUUCCAUCUUUCCAACAGUUUUCCUCUUUCUAACAAAGCAUAAAAUUAACAAUUUUGUGCUUUCCCCAAUAUCUUUGAUGUUUUCAGCGUAGCCCUGGCAAAAGUGUCUGAUGCUCCAGAACCAGUAAGAGGCAUUCUUGCUUUUAUUUUGCUCCUUCAGAAUUGAGGCCUUUUAAAACUUUCUCAUAUUGUGGAUUUUCUUCUUCUUUGAAACUGCUUUACUGAUUCACUUGAAACUCAGGUUUUUCUAAUGUUAAAUUGCUAUAAACUGCUUGACAGUGUCUCUUUAACUUAGUGACCAUGUAGAAAACUGCAGCAUUUUCCUUACAGUAAUUGUUGCAGUAUAUUUAUAUUUUUGUUGUAGGGGAAAAAGCUUUGGGCCUGGUUUACAGUUUAUUUUUUGCAUAUAGCCAACCAGCACUAUAAUUUAAUUUUGUUUGUUGGGAGUGCUGAGCUACAAAAAAUCAAAAUAUUGUGAAACGUGUUAGCAAAUAUAUUAUUCCAUGUAGUUAAGGUUUAAAAAAUUAAAUUUUGUAGAAAAGAAUUUUAAUAUUUCAAAAAUCUCCAUCUUCUCUCCUGUCUCAGUUCCCAUUGUCAAGAUAUGUGUUACAUAACGUUCAUUAAUUUGAAUUUAAAGUAAUUUUGGUCAAUGGACUCAAGGAACCAGUUUUAUUUUCUUAAAUGAAGACUCAUGUCAGUAUUUUGAUAGCUCCUUGAUGCAGCAAUUUUCAUUUGGAAAUCCCUUUUUGACAGGACUUGAAAAAGGAACUGCUUUAACCUUACCAGGUGCCCCUUCUCCCCAUUUUGUCUUUAAUCAAGUCUUCAUCCAGAAAGAUACUGGUUAUGCAGGGAAUUGCCUGCAAAAGGACACUUGUCAGAGGCAGGGGAGAGGUGAGUAUUAUGAGUAGAGGAGUGUUCAUUCUCCACUAUUCUGGCCUUACGUUACUCAAAUUCCCAGCCUCGCCAACUUUUUGGAGGAGGAAUAAGGAAGCCGCAGUUUAAUAGAAAACACCACAGUCUGUAUACAGGACUCUAAGGCAAAAGUAAUAGAAUUUAGGACCGUGUGCAGCCUAAAAGUUAGUUUGGUGAAGCUUGCAGUAGGGACAUUGGAAAAGACUUAUUUGAGUAUUCAUCUCUGUUCUUGAAUACCUCUGAAGGUUUCCCUCAUGUACAGAGCAAAUUUGUAGCCUUUAGAGGAACUGGGGUUGACUCCCUCACGCACUGGGAAAGGUUCUGCUCAAUACGUACAUAUCAAGGACUUAGAACCACUUCCAGCACGUAUGGCAUGGGUACAUUUUGUACCCUACACUUGGAUUAGAAUGUUCCCCAGUGGAAAUACCUACACUCUGGCGAGGUCUACGGUCAUAUUUAUACCUUUUUUGAUGUUGGACGAUGUUGAUGAUUAAUGCAUUUAAUUUGUAUAACUUGGUGAUUGUGUUUUACAAAUAAAGUUGUAGCCUUUAAUUUCUAGUCAUCUUGUAGUGUUUUAAUGAACACAUGACAUGGAAGGAUGUGAGUUUACAAAUUCCUUUUUGAGAUAAAGUGUCUUUGUGACUAUUAACUCCAGCCUGUUGAAAUGUUAGUCGGUACUAAAACAUACUAAAAAUACUUUCAUAACUGUUUCUAACUUAGUCUGUAUAGUUCAAAAAGUUUAAAAGCACAUGAAAGUUAAAUACCUCACUUAAGACUUUUUUUAAAAAAAGGCAGUAGCUCAUAAUAUAAAUAGUUCAGCUUGAUCAACACAUUUGUGACUGAAUAUGACUUCGUUGCUAUAGUUUUUGUUAAGGCAGUCAGUCGGUAUUUGGUAAUCGCUGCGGUUGAGUAUCUGUUGGUUUAUAUAUUUCAACUUUUGGUCAAAAUGUAGUAAUUAAGGUGCAUAGCAUUAACUGUAAAUUUUGUUGUUUGCUGUUAAGCGAUAGCAGUGGCGAAUGUAUGUUGUCAGGAUUUCUUCUCUUUCGUAUUCUCUCCAUUUGGUGGUAUUCAUGGAGUUACUGAGAUUGGUUUGCAGAAACCAUUGUCUUGUCGGGUGUUUUUGCUCAGGUUUGCCUGAGCGUGAUGCACACUGCAUGUAAACAUAUCUUCUGCAGGAUCAGUUUUAGUUUGUAGAAUUCUGUUAGAGUUCCUGUUCUGGUCUGUAGGUAAGUAACUCUUUUAUCUAAUCAAGGGAGACAAUAUCUCAAAUGAUGGUGCUAAUAUAUUGAUUGUUGGGAUUAGUUUCUUUAGCAUAUUUUCUUAUUUUUGUUGGUUUUUAUCAAAAAUAGGUAGUCUGAGUUUUCUGUUCAUAUUAAUGAAGAUAUGUAGUUGUCUCAAUAAGUGUCUGUUUUCUGAUAUAUUAUUUUUGUAAAUGUGUACCCUUGAAGCUGAUCUGGGGAUAGAAGAUAGUCAUUGGAAAUUUGCUGACAUUUACAUGCUGAAACAUGUAUUUGCAAUUUUGCAUUUGAUUUGCAUUAGCCUUUGUUGCUUGGGAGAUGUUCGUAUCCAAGGGUGAUCAAAUAGUUUCUUCAUAACGACAGGUUUCAGAGUAGCAGCCGUGUUAAUCUGUAUCCGCAAAAAGAACAGGAGUACUUGUGGCACCUUAGAGACUAACAAAUUUAUCUGAGCAUAAACUUUCUUGUUAGUCUCUAAGGUACCACAAGUACUCCUGUUCUUUCUUCAUAACAGCAUCCUUCUAGUUAGAUUCUGGCAUUUAGCCACAAACCCUAGUAGGGGACAGGACAGUGCAUUGCUGCCCCAUCCUAGGGAGAGCUCAGAAUGGGAUUGUGCCUCAUGCAUGCACAGUUUCUUCUUGGUGCAGAGAGGGAGGAGUGCAGAGGCUGCACUAUCCCAUAGGACGGUGUGACCAUUUUUCCUCUCCCAGCCUGUGGCCCACAAGGCCCACCCCAAUGGAACAAUGUUUUUUCUACAUGGGGAUAAGCAUAAAUGGGAGGAAGGGGAAGUUCCCCAUUGGAGUACAUGGCAAAGAGGGGGUGUUGCAUUGACUUUCACCUCUGGAGUGAUGAGCACCCUCCGGGGUGCAGGGAAGCAACAAUCCCUUAGCUUCCCCAAGCAUGGAAACUGAGAUUGCCCUGUCACUUAUGCAAGACUUGCCAUGGGAGGAAAGGUUCUUUGAGCCCUCCCCUCCAUCUUCUAUCAUAUUUUUUGGCAGGGUUCAAAAGUUUAUUUCACGUUGCUCUUCAAAGUAAUCACACUUGAUUUUUGCUCUUCAUUGCAGUAUACUAACUGCAUUAUAGUUAUGGCUGAAAAAGCACUUCAUUUUAAGGCUGGAGUUUUCAGACUCUCUAUACAACAUCUGUAUUAUAGUGGGGUGCCAGCUCCACUAUAGUUUGAGUAGAUCCACAGUUAAUCUGCCUGUUUCAUGCCAGUAGAGAUGGGAAUAGUGUUAUGCUAGAUUGAUUAUUGCAGGUUUGGUUAUGCAUGAACUGAUAACUACUUACAUUGGUUACUAGUAGCUGUACAUGCACCACCAUUUAAUGAGGUGGUAGGAUUUUUUGAGCAGUCAGGUCACUUACAUGCAUCCUGCCAUAGACCAGCUUGACAACAUAAUUUAUCUCACUGAGCUGCUUGAUGAUUUUAAAGGGCACUCCCAGGCAGCUUGGAGUUUAUUCUGCUACAUUGGAAUGAGUGCCAUAACUUUGUUUCCUAUUCCAUGUGACCUGGCCUGUGCCAUGUGGUCAUACCAGACAGUCUCUCUUAGGCUUUAAAUAGGUUCUCCUAAGCAAAAUCCAGGAGUUCUGUGAGCCUUUCCCGAAAGGACAAUAUAUAUUCCACUGCUUCCCCCUCAGGAGAGGUCUUAAGCUCCCACUCAUCCCUCACUUGGUUCUAGGGUGCCACACCCUCCUUCCAAAGAGCAGUGCAAAAGGGGAAAACUAGAUUCUUAGUGAAUUUCUCUAUAGGCAAACAGCAGAUACAGUAACUUGUCCCGAUCAUGUGAUCUAGAAAAGUUUCCAGCAUUAUUUUAAGUGUCCUAUUAAAUCUUUCCACCAGUCCUUUGGUUUGAGGGUGAUAUGCAGAGGGCCACAAGUGUCUGACCCCAUGUUUCUCCCAUAAGCCCUGGUGAAGGGUUGAUAUGAAAAUGAGUCCCUGAGGAACUUGCUGGGGAGGAAGCCCACCUAGCUGAAAAUUGACAAAAGAGCAUCACAUCUGUGUCUGCCUCUAUGGAGGACAGAGCUGCAGUCCUGCAGGAUAGCAAGUAGCAUAAUCUACCACCCCUACUAUGAAUUUCUUUCCAGUCUGGGUCUCCUUACUACAGUGUCCCACAAUAUCCAUGGUCAGCUUCAAAAAAGGUUCCUCUACUCUAGGUAGUGGCCUCUUGGCUGCUUUACUCUUUCUUGUGCUUUUUUCACCUUCUGAUAAGAAUCACGUGUUCUGAGUAUUUUUUGACUGCCUCAAAAACUCCAGGCCAGUAAAAAUUAUCAACAGCCUGUGUUUUGUGUGCUGGAUCUCCAGAUGCCCUGAAAAAGGGAUAUCUUCGGAGAAGUUUAACAUCUUAAGGUGAUACUUCUGGGAUACCACUGUCUACUGAUACUCCAAGUCUGUCUCCCCUGCGGGAAACCAUUCCCUGUAAAGUUGCUUAUUCCACAAGAAUCUCUUUCUGCAUUCCUCAGAUAAGAGGGCUUUCAGCGCUGGGACUGGCCACUGCAGCCCUUACCUUCUCUAAGGAGGGUUUGGAACACAGCUGCCAGGGCAGGGAGUGUAGCCUGCUCCUCCCUACUAAACUCAUCCUGUUUCCCCCUCUUGGCUUGGAUAUCAACCAAAGCAACACUUAACUCAGCUUAUUCUCACAGGCCGGAGGGGACAGUUGUGCCAAAUGGCAGGGGAACAGAGGUGGUCUCUCAAGUAAAUAGUCCCAAGUCAUUUUUAGGAGGGAACUGGUAUUCCUCUCAACUGCGGAUCUUAAGUUUUUACAUAAAGAAUUUUUUGUUUCUUGCUGCUACAGUGUUGUGGCUUGUAGAGAUGAAAGACUAUUAAAAUGUCCUGUUAGGUCACAUUUAUAAGCAUAACAUACAGUAUGUCAUUAAGGAUCAAGUGUACAGCAUUUUAUUUGUUAUACCAUGACAUUUAAAUAGGCUUUUUGAUUAGUGAGCUUAAUUUCUGUUUCUUCAAAGUUUUUUUUUUCAGUCUUGUCCCAUUCAUUAUCCUUCUGAUUCUGUUACGGGUCUGAAGCUGCUGUAAGGUCACUUGUGAAACCAGACUCUGCAUAGUAAAGGUUAAGUAUCUGAGUGCUCCCAGGGAUUAAUGGCUAUGUGCCAUAAAAUCUUCCCAAAGAUGGGCUAAUUAUAGAAGUGACAGAAAAUGCUAAGGGUUCAUUCUCUGUAAGGAGCUACAUUGAGAUUGUUUCAAAAUAAAACCUUACUUGUGCAAGGAGUUAGCAGAAAUCCACCAUUUCCUGUGUUUCAUUAACAUUUUUUGUCAUCUGAAUUUCCAUUUUUAAGAUUAAGAUGUCUUCCCUGAUAUUUCCCUCCUGGUUUAUUAUUAAAAUGUCUUGUACAAAAGUGUCCUAAAUAAGGGAUUUUCAGAAAACAGCUAGUAUCGAUCACUGACUUUGGUUUUGCUUUAUAAAUGUAUAUUGUAUAUAAAAGGAGGAGUGACUAGAAUCUUGUGAACUCUCACAUUCGUGAUCUGAGUGUCUGGAUGGUUACAAUUCACUUCUCAUAAUUACAGUUGUCUGGUAGUGAGUAUACUCUUCUGUUCCUUUAGGAAACUUUACAGGACUAAGAAUGUUUAAACCUCUCCUGGCUACCAUAACCCACUGCUUUCUCUCUUCCCCUUCUGCCCAUCCUUUACCUCACAAAUAAUUUAACAUAAAAGUGAUGGUAAAAUCUUUGCAAUAUAAUAAAACAAUGUAUAUAACUCAUUACUUCAGUAAAUAAUAUUAAUAUUCAAUUACUGUAAAUUAAAGGAUUUGGUUCCCCUCCCCUCCGUGGUUUAUGUGGUGUUCCUAUAGAAAGUGCUAGUCCUGUCUCCUCAGCAUUGAAGCAUCCUUGAGAAAUUCCUUUUGGUUUAUGUGCCGUUUCACAUGCUUUCAUUGCCACAUGUGAUAAGUGUUUACAACUUUUAACAAAAUAUUGUAGAUGUCUUUAUGGACCAGUAAAGUGCCUGAGUGGCAUGAGCUAGAAAUGACACCUAAAUUGAUAAUGUAUAUACAUUUUUAUGAACCAAACAUUUAUCAAUCAGCUUCUACACUAGGAGUAUUUAGUCUAUUAAUAGAUGAAUUGUACAAGAAGCUUGUAUUUAUUUUAUAUAUAAAAUAAAACAGUAAUACUUACUGGCUCUGAAUAGGUGCCAUUAGGUUUAGAACUUUGUGCUGCAUAUCCUGCAUAGAACAAUUAACAUGCAACACAUGCUAAAUGAGUCCAUUACUACUUGGUGAAAAAUAUAAAAUGUUAUUGCUCUGUUACAAUUUUUGUAUCAUGAAAAAUUAAUGAUCAGAAAUACUGGUGAUACAUGUUUAAGGUACGUUUUUCAGUAGUUUUAAACCACUUUCUGUGUGAUUGUAAAACAGACAUCACAAUAUGCCAUACGUCUUUCUAGUAUUUAUAGGGUAGAUAAGGUGAUUCAUUGAAGGGAAGAGAGUUCUAAAAAUGAAGUUUUUACUUCUUGAAAAGUUUUCUACACUCUCUUUUGUUGCUUGUUGUAACUAAAAAUUACUUGGCUUAAAGACACUUGAUUCAUCUUUAUUCCAUUGAUGUGGAUGAGAGUAUGUACCUUUUGGCUCAUUUAGCAGAGUUUGGUGAGUUGACGAUAUAGGUACUGCAUGCGUUUUUUCAGUUAUCCUUGUUUCAGUUGGGUGGCUUCAGGCUUUGAAAUAACUGGAUGGGAGGAGCCAUUCUGUGUUCGGAGCAGAAGAAAGGAAAGGAUGAGGGAGAGCCAUGGGCUUUGGUUUAUAGCUUCGAAGCUCUACAGGAGCAAGGGUAGCAGUAGAAUGGGGGACAGACAGCAGAGGCCUAAUGUAUAGUUUCUAAGCCCAACAUAGACUAAUGAAGAGCUCCUAAAUUCCAUGUAGACUUUCAUCGAGCAACUCUCGGGAAACAUUCUAAAAACAAACAAUUUCCAAUACUAAUAAUUUAGCUAAGCUUGAUUUACUCCCCAGAAAUUUACUGAUCAGUAACAUGAGAGUACUUGUAAAAAGAAUGCUGUUUUAAAGCUGAAAUUACUAGAAAAACCAGGAAGUUCAAAGUAAGUGUGCUAGAGUAUGGAAGAUGUAGUGUCAUAAACCAAAUGAAUCUAGCUAACACAGGCACAAAGAUGCAAAUACCUGAUUUAAAGCAUAGCUAAUAUAUACACUGUUAAGGCUAGAAUCUGUGGUAACAGCCUUCCAAUUUCUGUUGGUUUAAAUUUUAAUAAUUCAUAUCAUUUUUAGAGUAGAACCUUGUUAUUUUCAGAUGUAGCAGCUCAGUCUUAACCUUUUCCAAAAGUUUAAAUAAUACGUGCAUCCCAGAAGAGGAGUUUCUUUUACAGUUAUUCCCUUAUAAAACUCUCGUGCAUCAAAAAGGUAGCGAUACACUGAAUUCUUGGUCAAGAUAUAUUCAUUGUGGUGCAGAGUAGGUGUUCUUGGCCCAUUACUUGUGGCAUUGUCUUUACCUACAACAUUCCGGAUAUUAAUCUAUAACUUUAAGACACAGAAGCUGUAGAGAUCAAUGCUGGUCUAAACCCAGGUCUCUUCUUCUUUGGAGUUAACAUAGACAGCUUUAUAGCACUGCAAACCCUAAUGUGAAAAAUAUAUUGGAUUCCUGAUGUAAAUAAUAUCUGGAUAUACCCAUCUUAGAGUAUUUUCUGAUGCCCUUGAUUUCAGAGUUCAAAAUCUCAGAUUAGGUUUGAUCUUGCAUCUGGGCAGUCUUUCCUGUUCUUGUGUUAUCUGGAGUACAUGGUUGACAGCAGAAGUAUUUGCUUGAAGUAUCAGCCCAUUGACUAUUAGCUUGUGAUUGUGUGGUUUAUUUUCUGCUUUUAAACUUUCUUCCGGUACUGUCACAUGUUAUUGCAGAGAAGAUAGCCAAAACAGUUUCAAGUAAAACCAUGCUAUAAAAACCCAACUAUUUUAAAAAUAAAUAAGUCUGAACACAUAAUAUGUUCAGAAACAGAUCCAUUCUGUUGUGCAACAAAGAUGUGCGCUAUCUUGAGGAUUUUAUUAAGUCCGAGAUGCUGACAAAUGAAAUAAAGGCUCAAGAGUUUUGAUUUUAAAAGGUUCAGCACAAAGUACUAGUUCAAAGACUGAUUAUUUAGAGACAGGAUUUGCUCAUGAAGGAGAUCAGAUAAUUUUAUGGUACUCCUUUUGCACACAACCUGCAUGCUGAUUUGCAUGAAGUAUAAUGGCAUUCUUGAUUGGAAGAAUUGGCUGUUUUUGUAUGGGAGGGUAAGGCUUCUGAGAAAUAGUCAAGAUUAGAAACUGGUAUGAGAGAGAGCCCAUUUAGUUGCUUGUAAAACUUUGUUUGGAAUGUUUUGAUUAAUUUAACGUGUUAAUCAAGAGGAUGCACUUAGCCAUCGUUACAGCUUGGGGAUAGAGAAAGUUGGUUUUAUGUCACCUUUAUAACUCCUCUGAACCUGAGGUCAGUCAGGGACCAGGCUAUUCCUUGUUAUACAUUAGAGCAGCCUUAAGACUGCUCUAAUUUAUGUCCAGCUGCUGGUGACCCUAAUCAGUUAUUCUGGCAGCUGGGGAUCUCUGGGGCAUAGAUAUAUCCUGGCCACUCCCCCUUUUCCCUGACCCACACCUACUGCAGGGCUGGGGGUGUGUGGCAUUGGACACUCCACAGUGACUCCAUGUCAGCGGGGGAUGUUGGAAGAAUCCUUCACCAAUCAGUUUCGAUGGCAUUGUGGCUGUUUUGUGCUGCCAGUGUAGGUCCAGGAUCCUGACUCCAGUUCUUCCUCAAACACCUGGAAAUUUUAUGGUGGGUCAGUUCCUUUCCUUUCAGUUCAGCCAUUCUUUGUUCUCCCAAUCGUCUCUCUGUUACAUCUUGUGAAUCAAAACAUAAAAAGUAUAUUUAAUUACAUGACUACAAUCAUAUGUUUUUUUAAUUUUAAAAAAUUACUAUUUAUGCAAAAUAGAUCAAAUUUCAAAGAAACUACCACAGAUGUAUCCACCCUAUCCUUAGGCAAAACCCUGAAACUGGAGAUGGGCUUUGCUGUGUGCCUUCAAGGUCCGCAAUCUUAGGCUCUGUCAGAACAGUUGAGAAUGAAUUCCAGAGUUUAGGACCAUCCACAGAGAACUUAUGUUCUAUUCACUUCUGCCUUUAAAAAUAAAUGUCUGUAAGGAAAUAUUGAGUGGGGCAGUUACUGUACAACAAAGUAUUCAGGAUUGAAAGUGUUGCACACUUAAUUAGGAAGAAAUUUUCUGAUGCAUUUUAGAAUGGAAAUUUUUGCAGUCUAUUCACCUUUUACUUAAUUAUUUAAGAAUUAUUUUAUAGUUGGCUAAUCCAGUAACUUCUUUGAUGUAACUUGAUAUGCACUAACCCCAAAUUAAAAUUACUAAUAUUUUUCUUAUAUUUUGAUUUACGCUAGCUUUAAUUGUUUUUUUUUAAUAGUUUGCGGGUUUAAAACAGUGUUUCCCCUCUGGACCACUGUGUUGGAAAAGUAGGCUUAAUUUUAGGUCUUAGUUACUGGCUUACUUUGGCUAACGGGCAGGGAUGCUGAGGAGGGAGAGGUAUGUGCCUUGCACUGCUUCCCUGAGAUGAAUUUCAGCUGAUUAGGGAAUCCCUUGACUGAAUCUGAAAGGAUAUACAAUCAUCAGUCAAGAGGUCCAUAGUGAAAAAGUAAAGGAAGUGAUCUUGAAGAUAUAUCUUUCUUUCCGAACAUAUUCUCAGUUUUAGUCUUUAGAGGGAUGUGACUCUUAAAGGAGUUAGCCUAAUUUGCAAAAUUCUUUCUGCUUUGUGAUUGCGUGCUUUUGAGAGAAUUUGGUUUGGCUAUACCCUGAAAGUAUGAUGUGGAUAAUGUUAUGACAACUUCUGUAUUUCGACAAUUUGACUUUAUCCCUGUGUUCAUGGCUUCCUUGGGUAUUCUCUCUCUUCUGAAGUUUCCCUUGCAGCGACAGGACUUCAAAACUGUACAAAGUUCAGCCAUAUAAAGGUUGCAGAGUCUGGUCACGCAGGUUACUACAGUGAUUCCUGUUGCUGCAGUUGAGGUUUAGUGUCUCUCAAAGUAAUUACGUGUAAACCAGAAGUAUAAGAGAAAUUGCAAAACUGUGUUUUAUUCUUUGAUAGAUAACAGUUAAAGUGAUUUAUAAUGGAGACUGGAAUGAAUAUUUUUUCAGUGCAGGAAUAUCAACAUGAAAUUGGAGAGACUGAAGUUUCCUGCAUUGUAGGCAUGCAACACUUUGCUGCAACUAAUUGAAAGGUUUUAAAUUUUUUUUUAAAUGUACAUUAGUCUAGCAGAGGACAUAUAGCUACUCACUCUGAAAGUGUGAACUGCAGAAAAAAAUCUAUUAAUCGUCCUAAAGGCUAAUGCAUUAAUGUUACAUUCAAAGAAAGUGACUAAGAAAAUCUUGGCAGAGAGUUGAUUUACAUGAUUGUUUAGUUUUUCUAUCACGCUUGCUAGUAUUGAAUCCCAUGUGAAAAUAGUAUUUGCUUAGUAACUGUAACAAGUCACACAUAGCUAAUAACUACUUUACUGUGGUAAUCUCAUUUUAUAUUGUUUAAUAAUAAUAAUGAUUAUUCAUCCCAAGUUAAUUACCAUUAUUAUUACAUAGCACUUACCAGUUUGCUACAAAGGAAAAUAUAUUUUAUGUAAUAUCAUCUAACCUUUUUGGAAAGUAUAUGGAAAUUGGUUUUGGAUCUAAUUGAGUGUAGUUACCCAGUAAUCUGUAGGCGUCUAUAAAUGUUUCUUACAUUAUAUGUAUCAGGUGAAACCUAUGAGUUAGAGUAACUGCAAUCAAGCUGCAGCUAGCCAUAUUCUUUUGUUUGCCCAAAUUAGUUAGGUUCGUUUAACUGAAUUAAAAUAGAAGUUAAUUGUAUAAUUAAUUUAUACAGAAUCUUCUUACAGUUGGCUGACUUUAUCUCUUUAAAUGUGUGUGUAAAGCAAAAGUGAUUAUCUGCUAAAGCCAAAUAAAAUAAUUUAGCCAGGAGAAAAACUUCUGAAACUUUUCCUAGAUAUUAAGUAAUUUUAUUAUAAGUGAAUGCCUAAUAUAGAUACCUAGUGUGACCCUGAAUAGUUACUUCAGAUUAUAACACUGCUACAUAUUCUUAGUCUACUGAAAUAUAAGAUUAACAUUACUUCUGAUCUACAACAGUUAAUUACGGUAAGAAUUGCUGCUUUUCAAAGGAGAGUUGUAGCUAAAAAUGCAUCCUUUGUGACACAAGGCUCCUCCCCCCCCCCCCUUCCCAUUUUUAGCUGAACGAUGGUAAUAAUCAUGAAAUCACCUGGGAAGAGUAGGACCUGAGAGAAAACUUUAGGCUCUUAACCCCAUCUAGUAAUUAGUCAUCAACAAAUGCCCUGUUUCUAGGUUCACACAUAUGUUUAUUGUUCACAUAUAUGUUUGUUUGCAAAUACACAAAAUAGGCCAGUCAACAUCUCAUUUUUGUUACUUAAAUGAGAGAAAACUAUGAAAAAUACAGUUGUGCUUCAUGAUAUGUUGUUUUUUUAGUUUAGAGGUUUUUUUGGGUUUGUUUUUUGCAAAUACGUUCAGCUAAGAUCUACUGACGUUUUACAUUUCACAUUUUUGUACAGUCUUCUGCAGUUGGAAAAUUAUUUUUUUCUUAUGACUGAGCAACAGUCCUUCCAUAAGAUUAUUAAAUAACAAAUUCCUGAAUUAACAGAGGCUUUUUUAAUCAGCUAUAUUUUUAAUUAAAAUGACUGGAAGCUUUCUAACCAUCUGGAACACGUACUAAGUAUUAAUUAUCUGGAAAGGCAGUUGCACAAUGCACGUAUGCUCAACAUUUCUGUAGGGUGUAAAGGAAAUCUUGGACAAUUCCCCUCCCCCCACACACAAAUGGCAUUCAAUAAUAACAAAAAACGAUAGUCUAAUCCUGGGUCCUAGCAUUAAUGCAAUAUCUAAAUUUGUUGCCUGCAGUUAGAAAGGUAACAUCCCAGGCCCAGUUGUUUUCAUCCUUUUCCAAUUAUAGCAACUUUUGAAUGAAUACUGUAUAAACUUCAAGCUAAAUAUUCACAUUUUAUGGAAAGAUCUAAUCCUUUUUACAUUGUGUAAAUAGGAAACUAUUGUACCUCUUCUUCUGUACGUCUGAGCAACGUAAUAGUUUAUGAAAGGCUACUGCUUAUUUUAUGUCCCAUACAUUAUGGAUCUUGUUCCUGCUUGUUAUUGUUUUGACUCUCACUAUCCCUUUGUAGCUUUCUAGAAUUUACUUCAAAUAGUUUUGAUCUUUUUGCUUGGGGUGAAUAUGAGGGAGCAACAUACAAACUUUUAUCUUGCACUAUAUUCAAAUCCAAACAAUUGUAUAUAGUUAUGCUUUUGCUUUUCUCUUUUGUAAUAUGUUUGUGCUUAAGUUUACAAACAUUGUUAAUGAAAAGAAUACUAAUAAAAUAACAGCAAUGAUGUGAAUGCAGGGCAUUUCCUGGAGAUUAACCCAUUGAUCUUAGAGGUCAAAAUGUGCCUUAACAUAUCUCCCAACUGGUCGAUAAUCCCAAAGAAACACACUUUCUCAAUCAUUAUUGCUUUAUUAAGUUUUUUUCAUUUUCAAGAGUUUCUUUUAAGAUAUUUGAAAAACUAAAUAUAGCCAAUGUUUGGGAAGUUUUGUUCAGAUAUAUACUUGAGUGAUCAACAAAAUGAAUUGUGAAAACUUUUAAAACUCAGUGCUGUGCAGACUUUUGUGAAGAGUGUGUAUAUGCCUGUGCGUGUUAAGAAUCGAUCAAAGAGUAUUAACUGACAUGUAGUUCAUUAUGCAGAGGGAAUACUCUGGUUGGUAGUUACCCAGUCUUCCUUACAUGUGCUCAGCUAUACGUUUUUAGAGAGAAGAGGUGAGACUCUUGGGAGAGGAGCUGUGAACAUGGUGAAUGUUAUGUUGGACUGUUAAAAUUUAACUUUGUCAGAAACUGGCUGCAGUAGUGAACAGGAAACUUCAACGAGUCGAAGAGCGAUACUGGACUUUUCCAUCAUCUGGAGGAAAGAGAAUGAAUCAAUACCUGACCGUCAAGUUUUGAAGUAAAGAAGCUUGUGUGCACCUGCCUUCAGUCAGAUUUAGCCACUAGAACAAGUAAAGAAAUAUGGAAGGUGGGAUGCAAAACUCCUGAAAAACGAAUAUAUCACUAGAGAAAAUAAAUAGUCACGUCCUCACAAGAGACAACGAAACCAGAAAAUGAAAUCUGAGGAAACUAGAAGGAGAGACUGGGACCAGAGACUGUGUUCCAAAGGGACAUUGUGGAACUGGAUACCCUAACCAGUGAAUAAAACAACAACCGAUAGAACAAAACAGCUGAGAGACUUUAGGAAGAAUAGACAGAAAUUUACAACAGUUUACUUUGUUGUUCAGUGGACCGGAGAUUAUAAAAACAGCUAAAUUUGGGAAUGGACCAAUCACACCAAAGUCAUGAUGUCUUUUAUGGAUGCUCACUGUCACCCAAAUAGGUUAAUCAUACACAAAUCGUCUUAAAGGGAAAAAAAAGACUAGUAACCUGGAAAAGAUUGUAAUUCAAAAAGAAGAGUUUUAAUUUUAAAGAUCAAGGGAGAAAGAAAAAGGAUGGAUGGCUGCGUAUGAAAGCUGUGGGGCACUUUGAGUUGAUGUUUAAGGUCCCAGCAGAGAUGGUACCAUCAGCGAGGAUACCAUUCGAGCGUCUCUCAUUUCAGCGGUGAGUGAUAAACUGAGAUGGCGGAUGAAAGAGGAAAUGGAUCGUGCACAAGCUGAGCUCAAUGCCUUGAAGCGGACA